This 1347-nucleotide ribosomal RNA is filed under the name Glycomyces sp. RNAcentral describes it as "bacterial SSU rRNA". It matches the Rfam family "Bacterial small subunit ribosomal RNA", at positions 114 to 1460 of the family's 1533-position model. The record is from RNAcentral. Lineage: Bacteria; Bacillati; Actinomycetota; Actinomycetes; Glycomycetales; Glycomycetaceae.
CAUGCAAGUCGAACCUGCCCCCAUCUCUGGGAUAACUGCUGGAAACGGUGGCUAAUACCGGAUACUACUGCUGGUCGCAUGGCCUGGUGGUGGAAAGCUUUUGCGGUUGGGGAGGGGCUCGCGGCCUAUCAGCUGGUUGGUGGGGUGAUGGCCUACCAAGGCGGUGACGGGUAGCCGGCCUGAGAGGGCGGUCGGUCACAUUGGGACUGAGAUACGGCCCAGACUCCUACGGGAGGCAGCAGUGGGGAAUUUUGCACAAUGGGCGGAAGCCUGAUGCAGCGACGCCGCGUGAGGGAUGACGGCUUCGAGUUGUAACCUCUUUAUCCAUGACGAAGCCAGGUUGUUGCUGUUGACGUAGUGGUUGAUAAGCGCCGCUAACUACGUGCCAGCAGCCGCGGUAAGACGUAGGGCGCGAGCGUUGUCCGGAUUUAUUGGGCGUAAAGGGCUCGUAGGCGGCUCGUCGCGUCUGCCCGUGAAAGACUACAGCUUAACUGUGGUUUUGCGGUGGAUACGGGCGGGCUUGAGGCCAGUAGGGGAGAUCGGAAUUCUACGUGCAGCGGUGAAAUGCGCAGAUAUGUGGAGGAACACCGGUGGCGAAAGGCGGAUCUCUGGGCUGGUUCUGACGCUGAGGAGCGAAAGCAUGGGGAGCGAACAGGAUUAGAUACCCUGGUAGUCCAUGCUGUAAACGGUGGGCGCUAGGUGUGGGGUGGCAUUGGGUUCACUCUGUGCCGUAGCUAACGCAUUAAGCGCCCCGCCUGGGGAGUACGGCCGCAAGGCUAAAACUCAAAGGAAUUGACGGGGGYCCGCACAAGCGGCGGAGCAUGCGGAUUAAUUCGAUGCAACGCGAAGAACSUUACCUGGSUUUGACAUCACCCGGAAAGCUCCAGAGAUGGGKCCCUCUUCGGACUGGGUGACAGGUGGUGCAUGGCCUGUCGUCAGCUCGUGUCGUGAGAUGUUGGGUUAAGUCCCGCAACGAGCGCAACCCUUAUCCCGUGUUGCCAGCAAGUAGUGUUGGGGACUCGCGGGAGACUGCCGGGGUUAACUCGGAGGAAGGUGGGGAUGAGGUCAAGUCAUCAUGCCCCUUAUGUCCAGGGCUUCACGCAUGCUACAUUGGCCGGUACAGCGGGUUGCGAUACCGUGAGGUGGAGCGAAUCUCUGUAAAGCCGGUCUUGGUUCGGAUUCGAGUCUGCAACUCGGCUCGAUGAAGGUGGAGUCGCUAGUAAUCGCAGAUCAGCAACGCUGCGGUGAAUGCGUUCCCGGGCCUUGUACACACCGCCCGUCACGUCAUGAAAGUUGGCAACACCCGAAGCCUGCGGCCCAACCGGUUUUCCGGAGGGAGUGGUCGAA